AGUGAACGCUGGCGGCAUGCCUAAUACAUGCCAGUCGAACGGAAGCACAGUAAGCUUGUUCCUCUACGGUUGGCGAGUGGCGGGUGGGUGAGGAGUACAUCGGAUUCCACUUUUACUGGGGGGACUACGUGGGGGAGGUUAUGCUAAUAGCUCAUAUGAUCUACCGCUUAGAGCAAUGGUGAUUGGCAGUUUUGCCGUCUCAAUUAGACGGUGUCGGAUUAGCUAGUCGGGUAGGUAACGGCACACCAAGGCGACGAUACGUAGCUGGUCUGAGAGGAUGAUCGGCCACACUGGAACUGAGACACGGUCCAGACUCCUACGGGAGGCAGCAGUGGGGAAUAUUCGGCAAUGGGCGAAAGCCUGAUGCAGCAACACCGCGUGAGUGAUGAAGGUCUUCGGAUCGUAAAACUCUUUUAUUAGGAAAGAAAAACUGUGUAAGUAUCUCCGCCCGUCUUGACGGUACCUAAUCAGAAAGCACCGGCUAACUACGUG
RNAcentral lists this ribosomal RNA (492 nucleotides) under uncultured bacterium. Its description in RNAcentral is "partial 16S ribosomal RNA". It matches the Rfam family "Bacterial small subunit ribosomal RNA", at positions 29 to 507 of the family's 1533-position model. The record is from RNAcentral.